UUGGGAGGAAAACCUGCCGGUCAAUACCCGGUAGCUUGACAUUACCUUUAGAAGAAGCACCGGCUAACUCCGUGCCAGCAGCCGCGGUAAUACGGAGGGUGCGAGCGUUAAUCGGAAUUACUGGGCGUAAAGCGUGCGUAGGUGGUUCGUUAAGUCAGAUGUGAAAGCCCUGGGCUCAACCUGGGAACUGCAUUUGAAACUGGCGGACUAGAGUUUAGUAGAGGGGAGUGGAAUUUCAGGUGUAGCGGUGAAAUGCGUAGAUAUCUGAAGGAACACCAGUGGCGAAGGCGACUCCCUGGACUAAAGCUGACGCUGAGGUACGAAAGCGUGGGUAGCAAACAGGAUUAGAUACCCUGGUAGUCCACGCCGUAAACGAUGUCGACUAGCCGUUGGUCCUAUAUACAGGAUUAGUGGCGCAGCUAACGCAUUAAGUCGACCGCCUGGGGAGUACGGCCGCAAGGUUAAAACUCAAAGGAAUUGACGGA
Molecule: ribosomal RNA, 485 nt
Filed under: uncultured bacterium
Lineage: Bacteria
Description: bacterial SSU rRNA
Rfam family: Bacterial small subunit ribosomal RNA
Source: RNAcentral